Molecule: long non-coding RNA, 933 nt
Filed under: Homo sapiens (human)
Lineage: Eukaryota; Metazoa; Chordata; Mammalia; Primates; Hominidae
Description: non-protein coding lnc-LHFPL2-3:2
Source: RNAcentral
CCGGACGCCCGGCCCGCUCGCGGGACGGAGGCGGCGAUGGUGACUGGGCAGCGGCGCGGGGCCGGGGCCUGGGCAGGGCGGCUCGGCCGCCUCUUUCUCUCGCUGCCCCCGCCCCUCCUCCUCCUCCCUCUCCCCGAGUGCUAGCCCGGGCGGCCGCCGAGCUUGGCGCUCUCUCGCCUCGCUGCCUCCUCCCCCGCGCCGCGGACCCUCUCCCCUCCCUUGCGUUGCCCCCCUCUCCCGCCGCCUCCUCCCGCUCUCCUCUCGCUCUCCUCCCGCCUCCUUCUUCCAGGCGCGGCCAGCGGGGGCAAGAGCGAGGUGGCUGCGAGGAGGCGUCACUGAAAGCCCUGACUUGGGGAAGGCUGCGGGCUCGGAGCCGGAGACGCCGAGCUGGGGCCGGGUGAGUUGGGAAUCAGACUCUUGAGUUGACAGCUGGCCUAUGGUUUCUGCAUUUUGUUAAGAAGCACCUCAUGCAAGCGAGGGACCUGGGACUGCUCACAGCCAGGUGGCAUUUUUCUGAAGUUGUUCAUUAAGACUUCCCAGCAUUCCUACAGAUAUAAAUAGGUGAGGCCGCAGGCGGUGCUCUGGGUCCGGGAGCGCUGUCCCCAGCAUGAACGCGGCCGGCGGCGGGAGUGAAUGACUGCAGCUGCGACUUCCUUCCCGGGCCGCCCGAGCCUCCUUCCCCACCGACUUUCUUGUUUUGAUUAACUCCGUGGACUCCUGACUCUUUCUUCGCCCGGAACAUCAAUAUGUGUCAUGUCAUUGUCACCUGUCGCUCGAUGCUCUGGACCUUGCUGAGUAUUGUGGUGGCUUUUGCCGAGCUCAUUGCCUUCAUGAGUGCAGACUGGCUGAUCGGGAAAGCGAGGAGCCGCGGCGGCGUGGAGCCGGCGGGCCCGGGCGGGGGCUCCCCGGAGCCCUACCACCCCACCCUGGGCA